RNAcentral lists this ribosomal RNA (783 nucleotides) under uncultured Staphylococcus sp. RNAcentral's name for it is "bacterial SSU rRNA". It matches the Rfam family "Bacterial small subunit ribosomal RNA", at positions 111 to 880 of the family's 1533-position model. The record is from RNAcentral. Lineage: Bacteria; Bacillati; Bacillota; Bacilli; Caryophanales; Staphylococcaceae.
UAACACGUGGAUAACCUACCUAUAAGACUGGGAUAACUUCGGGAAACCGGAGCUAAUACCGGAUAAUAUUUUGAACCGCAUGGUUCAAAAGUGAAAGACGGUCUUGCUGUCACUUAUAGAUGGAUCCGCGCUGCAUUAGCUAGUUGGUAAGGUAACGGCUUACCAAGGCAACGAUGCAUAGCCGACCUGAGAGGGUGAUCGGCCACACUGGAACUGAGACACGGUCCAGACUCCUACGGGAGGCAGCAGUAGGGAAUCUUCCGCAAUGGGCGAAAGCCUGACGGAGCAACGCCGCGUGAGUGAUGAAGGUCUUCGGAUCGUAAAACUCUGUUAUUAGGGAAGAACAUAUGUGUAAGUAACUGUGCACAUCUUGACGGUACCUAAUCAGAAAGCCACGGCUAACUACGUGCCAGCAGCCGCGGUAAUACGUAGGUGGCAAGCGUUAUCCGGAAUUAUUGGGCGUAAAGCGCGCGUAGGCGGUUUUUUAAGUCUGAUGUGAAAGCCCACGGCUCAACCGUGGAGGGUCAUUGGAAACUGGAAAACUUGAGUGCAGAAGAGGAAAGUGGAAUUCCAUGUGUAGCGGUGAAAUGCGCAGAGAUAUGGAGGAACACCAGUGGCGAAGGCGACUUUCUGGUCUGUAACUGACGCUGAUGUGCGAAAGCGUGGGGAUCAAACAGGAUUAGAUACCCUGGUAGUCCACGCCGUAAACGAUGAGUGCUAAGUGUUAGGGGGUUUCCGCCCCUUAUGCUGCAGCUAACGCAUUAAGCACUCCCGCCUGGGGAG